GAAUGCUGACAUAAGUAACGAUAAAGCGGGUGAAAAGCCCGCUCGCCGGAAGACCAAGGGUUCCUGUCCAACGUUAAUCGGGGCAGGGUGAGUCGACCCCUAAGGCGAGGCCGAAAGGCGUAGUCGAUGGGAAACGGGUUAAUAUUCCCGUACUUGGUGUUACUGCGAAGGGGGGACGGAGAAGGCUAUGUUGGCCGGGCGACGGUUGUCCCGGUUUAAGCGUGUAGGUGUGUGUUCCAGGUAAAUCCGGUUCACUUUAACACUGAGGCGUGACGACGAGGCACUACGGUGCUGAAGCAACAAAUGCCCUGCUUCCAGGAAAAGCCUCUAAGCAUCAGGUAACAUCAAAUCGUACCCCAAACCGACACAGGUGGUCAGGUAGAGAAUACCAAGGCGCUUGAGAGAACUCGGGUGAAGGAACUAGGCAAAAUGGUGCCGUAACUUCGGGAGAAGGCACGCUGACACGUAGGUGAAGUGAUUUACUCAUGGAGCUGAAGUCAGUCGAAGAUACCAGCUGGCUGCAACUGUUUAUUAAAAACACAGCACUGUGCAAACACGAAAGUGGACGUAUACGGUGUGACGCCUGCCCGGUGCCGGAAGGUUAAUUGAUGGGGUCAGCGCAAGCGAAGCUCCUGAUCGAAGCCCCGGUAAACGGCGGCCGUAACUAUAACGGUCCUAAGGUAGCGAAAUUCCUUGUCGGGUAAGUUCCGACCUGCACGAAUGGCGUAAUGAUGGCCAGGCUGUCUCCACCCGAGACUCAGUGAAAUUGAACUCGCUGUGAAGAUGCAGUGUACCCGCGGCAAGACGGAAAGACCCCGUGAACCUUUACUAUAGCUUGACACUGAACAUUGAGCCUUGAUGUGUAGGAUAGGUGGGAGGCUUUGAAGUGUGGACGCCAGUCUGCAUGGAGCCGGCCUUGAAAUACCACCCUUUAAUGUUUGAUGUUCUAACGUGGACCCGUAAUCCGGGUUGCGGACAGUGUCUGGUGGGUAGUUUGACUGGGGCGGUCUCCUCCUAAAGAGUAACGGAGGAGCACGAAGGUUGGCUAAUCCUGGUCGGACAUCAGGAGGUUAGUGCAAUGGCAUAAGCCAGCUUGACUGCGAGCGUGACGGCGCGAGCAGGUGCGAAAGCAGGUCAUAGUGAUCCGGUGGUUCUGAAUGGAAGGGCCAUCGCUCAACGGAUAAAAGGUACUCCGGGGAUAACAGGCUGAUACCGCCCAAGAGUUCAUAUCGACGGCGGUGUUUGGCACCUCGAUGUCGGCUCAUCACAUCCUGGGGCUGAAGUAGGUCCCAAGGGUAUGGCUGUUCGCCAUUUAAAGUGGUACGCGAGCUGGGUUUAGAACGUCGUGAGACAGUUCGGUCCCUAUCUGCCGUGGGCGCUGGAGAACUGAGGGGGGCUGCUCCUAGUACGAGAGGACCGGAGUGGACGCAUCACUGGUGUUCGGGUUGUCAUGCC
Molecule: ribosomal RNA, 1455 nt
Filed under: Salmonella enterica
Lineage: Bacteria; Pseudomonadati; Pseudomonadota; Gammaproteobacteria; Enterobacterales; Enterobacteriaceae
Also listed under: 2 other names
Description: partial 23S ribosomal RNA
Rfam family: Bacterial large subunit ribosomal RNA
Source: RNAcentral